UACGUAGGGGGCAAGCGUUGUCCGGAAUUAUUGGGCGUAAAGAGCGUGUAGGCGGCCAGAUAGGUCUGCUGUGAAAUCUCGAGGCUCAACCUCGAGCUGUCGGCGGAAACCAUCUGGCUAGAGUCCGGAAGAGGAGAGUGGAAUUCCUGGUGUAGCGGUGAAAUGCGCAGAUAUCAGGAAGAACACCUAUGGCGAAGGCAGCUCUCUGGGACGGUACUGACGCUGAGACGCGAAAGCGUGGGGAGCGAACAGG
Molecule: ribosomal RNA, 253 nt
Filed under: uncultured bacterium
Lineage: Bacteria
Description: partial 16S ribosomal RNA
Rfam family: Bacterial small subunit ribosomal RNA
Source: RNAcentral